CCUACGGGUGGCUGCAGUAGGGAAUAUUGCUCAAUGGGGGAAACUCUGAAGCAGCAACGCCGCGUGAAGGAUGAAGGUUUUCGGAUUGUAAACUCCUUUUGUUAGGGAAGAUGAUGACGGUGUCUCACUAAUAAUCAGCGGCUAACUACGUGCCAGCAGCCGCGGUAAUAAGGAGGGUGCAAGCGUUACUCGGAAUGACUGGGCGUAAAGAGGGGGUAGGAGGGUUAGCAAGUAAGAUGUGAAAUCCUAAGGCUUAACCAUAGAACUGCAGUUAAAACUGUUAUUCUAGAGUAUGGGAGAGGUAGCUGGAAUUCUUGGUGUAGGGGUAAAAUCCGUAGAGAUCAAGAGGAAUACCCAUGGCGAAGGCGACCUGCUAGAACAUAACUGACGCUGAUGCGCGAAAGCGUGGGGAGCAAACAGGAUUAGAUACCCGAGUAGUC
Molecule: ribosomal RNA, 440 nt
Filed under: uncultured bacterium
Lineage: Bacteria
Description: partial 16S ribosomal RNA
Rfam family: Bacterial small subunit ribosomal RNA
Source: RNAcentral